This 253-nucleotide ribosomal RNA is filed under the name uncultured bacterium. RNAcentral's name for it is "partial 16S ribosomal RNA". It matches the Rfam family "Bacterial small subunit ribosomal RNA", at positions 524 to 776 of the family's 1533-position model. The record is from RNAcentral.
UACGUAGGGUGCAAGCGUUGUCCGGAAUUAUUGGGCGUAAAGAGCUCGUAGGCGGUUUGUUGCGUCGGCUGUGAAAUCCCGAGGCUCAACCUCGGGUCUGCAGUCGAUACGAGCAAACUAGAGUGUUGCAGGGGAGACUGGAAUUCCUGGUGUAGCGGUGAAAUGCGCAGAUAUCAGGAGGAACACCGGUGGCGAAGGCGGCAUCCUGGACCAACAUUGACGCUGAGGAGCGAAAGCUAGGGGAGCAAACGGG